GCCUGGGUGGCUCAGUUGGUUGAGCAUCCGACUUCAGCUCAGGUUAUGAUUUUGCGGUCCAUGGGUUCGAGCCCUAUGUCGGGCU
Molecule: transfer RNA, 85 nt
Filed under: Felis catus (domestic cat)
Lineage: Eukaryota; Metazoa; Chordata; Mammalia; Carnivora; Felidae
Also listed under: 2 other names
Rfam family: tRNA
About the family: Transfer RNA (tRNA) molecules are approximately 80 nucleotides in length. Their secondary structure includes four short double-helical elements and three loops (D, anti-codon, and T loops).
Source: Rfam by way of RNAcentral